CCAAUAGCGUAUAUUAAAGUUGUUGCAGUUAAAAAGCUCGUAGUUGAAUUUCGGGGUUCUACCGUUGGUCGGGCAAUAGUCUGUACUGGCGCGUGGAAUUUCUACCUUCUGGGGAACCAUCAUGUUAUUUAUUUAGCGUGGUGGGAAACCAGGACCUUUACCUUGAAAAAAUUAGAGUGUUCAAAGCAGGCUUACGUCUGAAUACAUUAGCAUGGAAUAAUAAAAUAGGACGGUGGUCCUGUUUUGUUGGUUUCUGAAUCACCGUAAUGAUUAAUAGGGAUAGUUGGGGGCAUUAGUAUUCAAUUGUCAGAGGUGAAAUUCUUGGAUUUAUUGAAGACUAACUUCUGCGAAAGCAUUUGCCAAGGAUGUUUUCAUUAAUCAAGAACGAAAGUUAGGGGAUCGAAGACGAUCAGAUACCGUCGUAGUCUUAACCAUAAACUAUGCCGACUAGGGAUCGGACGAUGUUAAUUUUUCUUGACUCGUUCGGCGCCUUACG
This 496-nucleotide ribosomal RNA is filed under the name uncultured Glomeromycotina. Its description in RNAcentral is "partial small subunit ribosomal RNA". It matches the Rfam family "Eukaryotic small subunit ribosomal RNA", at positions 591 to 1092 of the family's 1831-position model. Lineage: Eukaryota; Fungi; Glomeromycota. The record is from RNAcentral.